GUCAGAGUUUGGCCGUUUGUCGGGAUGCAGCACAUCGCGAACUUUGUGGUCAUCCUCUCGGUGGUGGUGAGGCGGCUCACAGGCCACACUCCUACAUCCUAAGAAAGCGGCCAAACGGCUGGUCGUGGAGCGCCUGCACGGCGGACCAGCCGACGGUGUUAAGGACUUAAGGGCCGUUGUCCCGGCGAGGAGCUGCUUCGACAAAGCAGUAGGGCCUCGACGACGGGGCGACCGGCGAUGCCGUAGCAACGCCGUAGCUUGGCUCCUGGCUACAGAAAAGCUAGCCUGGGGGAGAGCUGGCCACCCUAGGUAGACAUGUUCUACCUAUAUGAAUCCGCUAGCGCCCGCUCGUGCAGCAAGGGACGGGAAGGGAGAAGUGGGCCCUGGCGAUUGGGGGAAGGAAGAAGAUGAAAGAAAGGAGCGGGCAGAGGACCUGAAACAACUGGUCGGUUGUAAGUGGCCACGGUAUGGCAUUGGAGGUGAAUUGAGCCGACACACUGCCAGUAGAUUUACCAAGUCUGACUUGACAUGUCCAGCCUUCAACAUCUGGAUAUGGGGCUUCACACAGUCGUACGUGUUCGAGAGGUCACAGACAUAUGAAGUUUAUCGGUAAUACUCGAAACCUUUGGAAUUUGUGCACG
This is a long non-coding RNA of Lolium perenne, 641 nucleotides long. RefSeq lists it as uncharacterized. The record is from RefSeq and is a predicted model, not a curated record. NCBI's taxonomy places the organism in Eukaryota, Viridiplantae, Streptophyta, Magnoliopsida, Poales, Poaceae.